This 429-nucleotide ribosomal RNA is filed under the name Gemmatimonadota bacterium. RNAcentral describes it as "Gemmatimonadetes bacterium partial 16S ribosomal RNA". It matches the Rfam family "Bacterial small subunit ribosomal RNA", at positions 355 to 776 of the family's 1533-position model. The record is from RNAcentral. Lineage: Bacteria; Pseudomonadati; Gemmatimonadota.
UAGGGAAUCUUCGGCAAUGGACGAAAGUCUGACCGAGCAACGCCGCGUGAGUGAAGAAGGUUUUCGGAUCGUAAAACUCUGUUGUUAGAGAAGAACAAGGACGUUAGUAACUGAACGUCCCCUGACGGUAUCUAACCAGAAAGCCACGGCUAACUACGUGCCAGCAGCCGCGGUAAUACGUAGGUGGCAAGCGUUGUCCGGAUUUAUUGGGCGUAAAGCGAGCGCAGGCGGUUUCUUAAGUCUGAUGUGAAAGCCCCCGGCUCAACCGGGGAGGGUCAUUGGAAGAUGGGAGACUUGAGUGCAGAAGAGGAGAGUGGAAUUCCAUGUGUAGCGGUGAAAUGCGUAGAUAUAUGGAGGAACACCAGUGGCGAAGGCGGCUCUCUGGUCUGUAACUGACGCUGAGGCUCGAAAGCGUGGGGAGCAAACAGG